CCCCUUCUACUUUAACAUGGAGGUACUUUCUGUGUUUAAAAAGGUAAGUGCUUCCAUGUUUUGGUAGGAGU
Monodelphis domestica (gray short-tailed opossum) is the source of this 71-nucleotide microRNA precursor. Ensembl annotates it as mdo-mir-302b. Its record names the gene mdo-mir-302b. The record is from Ensembl. Lineage: Eukaryota; Metazoa; Chordata; Mammalia; Didelphimorphia; Didelphidae.